This is a long non-coding RNA of Gasterosteus aculeatus aculeatus (three-spined stickleback), 35769 nucleotides long. The record is from Ensembl. Lineage: Eukaryota; Metazoa; Chordata; Actinopteri; Perciformes; Gasterosteidae.
GACAUUUUGACAAGGUGGUUUUUCUCAAAAAAAGUCAAUGUACAUUUGGCAAUAUACUUAAUUAUCAUUAUUAAUCAUAAUCAAUAAAUUGAUGGCUAAAUUAAGCUAUGGGUAAAUUAUACAUUAAUGACCAGGCAAAGGAGUACUUUAGCUAUUAAAUCUGUCAAGGUCCCUCAAGUUCAGUGUGAGUGGUCUAUCUCCUUAUCUGAACACUUUGAAGUCUCUGCCUCUGUCUGUUGCCUCAGGCGUGUGUUGAGAUAUGAGGAGAGUCUGCCUCAUCUACCUAAUGCUGCUUGUGUAGCUAAUAGUCCAGAAAACACUGCUCUGUGAGGCCGCACACAAGCACUUUAAAUGAUUCAUCUUUGGCUGUCACCAAUCGGAGAGCAACUUGCCACGCUCUGCCACUCAUGAUCCAGCCAAUCUGAAGGUGUUAGGAAGGUUGGCAGGGUUUAAAGGGUGGCGAAUAGUUGUUUAUUGAGCAGAUUUAUGUACUUAAGGGUCUUGAAAGCUACUUUGUGCACAGGUAUACGAUCAUUUUCUUCUUGAACAAAUCAUUUCAAUCACCAAAUUAACAGCUCAUUUAGAUGUGUCAACCUGGUGCAUUUUUUGAGCAAAGUGAUGAGGCUGAAGGCUUCUAUGGAGAAGAGGUUUGUGCCCGUUAACUCUACUGUAGAUUAUUAUGAAUAAACUGACGUCCCGGUUCAUGAAUUAAUAAUUGAUACAAUGGAUUUAGUUUACACCAGGAUACAGCCAUGAUUCUGAAAGUAUGUAAUCAUUAAAGAAAUGAGAAUAGUGUAAUACCACUGUAAUGUUGAAAUGUAAUCAAUAGAAUAAUACCAAUGCACAGCUAUGAUUGUAUUCAAUGUAAUGUAACCAACCGAAAUGAAGGUAUGUAAUACUUGAUAGCACAACUGAUAUUGACCAAAAGACAUUCAAAAGUUAUAUUGAACUCACCAGGAGACGGCUCCCAGGGGCGUGGACACUAACUUUCAAACCUUUACUGAUCUGUAUAAAUACCUGUAGGCAACCAUUGUUCAAGGAGUUUAUUGGUAGAAGCAAGAGACAGGCAUUAUGGGUAGUCAAUGGGCUGCUAUGUGGCAUGUUGAUUACAGACACCAGCGUUCUUUUUAACACAACACCUUUUCUUUUAUUAAAUAUUUUUAAUUUUAACUUCCAAGAUGUCUUCUGUCCAUCCGGAGUUUCUUCCUUUUUACAAUACAAUACUACUCGAUGUAGCCUAUCUGUGUGUUAUGUUUGUGGACAACAGUUUUGAAGCCAAGAGGUGGCCGUUUUUUUAUGUUGCCACAUUGAUUAUAUGCAACUAGUUUUUUAAUUGAAUAAAAUUUAAAAUAAACUUCCAUUUCUGACCUCCGGGCUGCUCUCAGGCGCUAUGGUGCUUUAAGCUAAAUGCUAACGUUGUCAUGCUAACAUGCACACAAUGACAACAUGUUGAUGUUAAGCAGUUAUAAGAUCAAGUUUGUUGAUUUAGUUUGUUAGAAUUCGGCAUGUUAGCAAUUAACGGUUUAACCUCUAAGCAAUGAUAAGAGUUUCGGAUCCACUGACACGCUGAGGAAGUGGGAAAAUACUGAGUCCUGUUAGCGCAUUGUUGGUUUUGAUCUUUUGCUUUAAAUUUGCUGAAAAAAAAAAAAUACCAGAUCACAUCAGACUUAUCCUUUAAAGCUCUGCACAUUAGUCAACGUUUCUUUAAAUGUGCCAUCGGUAGCUUGCUAGAUGUCUUUGAACUCUAAUCAUUGGGCAUGACAUUAAAAGCCUCCAUCAGUCUGUGCCUUUUAAAUCCCUUUGAUGAGCAUGUACAAAGAAAAUCUUGGGGGUUGCAUGUAAUUCACAAAUAUAGCACAAACAAUUGUGAGACAGUGCAACCCGUCAGGAGAAAACAUCACAAGAUAAAUUAAAGAUGGCGGACAGAUUAGAUGUUAAAAAAAGAGUAUUGAGGCAACUCCACACACAACAAAACAAAAAAUCAGCACACCCAAGAGCAGAAUGCAAGUCAACUGCAAGUUGAUAAAGCCUUCGGAAAAGAACUCUCUCUAGAUAGUGAGAUCUAAAAAUGACAGGUGAGUUUGAGAACGGUUCUUGCAGCUGGUACCCCUCAAUUUAAUUUGUGCCAAGAGAAAAAAAGGCCAUUGCCGAGCAAUGAGUCGUGGUGAUGUGUGAUGCAGGCAGAGAAGAUGAGACUGCAGGCUACCUGGAGCAGAGCCAGGGACUCUGGGUCACUGGUGUCAGGGCAAGCUGGCAUGACUGGUGAAAGCACAUAACCGAGUGCACAAACACACACACACAAACCACGAUUUAAAAACACUGUGGAGCUGAUAACAUUCCCGGUAUUUCACAUGAGCACACAUGCAGAACAUCUUUGCCCUCCUCUCUUUGUUGUACUCUUGCAGUUAAUCUUGUUCAGCGGCAUGAUGAUUAUGAUAAGUCUUGCUGUAAAAUAUAAAUGCAAAUUUGCAGGCAUCUUCCCUGACAAACCUCUUGGCAAAAAAAAGCAUCAUUAUAUUCUUGCUGCAGAGGGGGAGGAACAUUGUGAGGAGAAAAUAUAUUAAAUUGCAGACAUUACCAAUUUCUUUUCUGUCACCCGCCAGACUUUGUAAUACUCUCAUCCAUCUGUUUCUGUGAAGUAUUAUGCAUGUGGACCUAUCAACGCCGGCAGCACCCCUGGGCACGACUGUGUCAUACAAGCUGAGUCUCCCUGAAAACACCUGCUGCCUCGCAUCCUAACAUUAGCAAAACAAGUGUUUUAAGUAUUUUUGAAUUCCGUCUAAAAUGUCUCCUAUGCACGCUGGAUCUGUUGCGAGACAGGUGUCUCUGCAAUGUGGAGCAUCAGCAGCACACAGGAGUGUUAAUUAGACACACCAACAAUAGUGUCGGGGGGUGCUGCGACUGACGUAUGAAGCUCCCACAGCGAUUAGCACACACCGAAAACGUUUUGACUCUGACAGGGCAUCUGCGCCUGUGUGCACCUGAGUGACUAUCACGGAGAUUUAGAGACAGAUCGGUCUGCGUGGACUAAAACACAUAUAUGAAGAACGGGAACGCCAGGCUGAGUCGGGAGAACAAUGUUUGGGCAAACGCAGUGAAAUAAUGAUCGCCCUCAUCCAGGUGAUAAUGUGUAAUAAAUGCAGGCAAAGUUCCUCAACGGACUGAUUCAUUCUUCAUCACAAGGGAGGCAGAAUACACCAGGGGGCAAUCUGAGAGAGUGCUCGCUCAUUUAUUUUUGCCUUAACGAAGCAGGGAAAGUAUUGUAACGCUCACCCCAGUGCUGCAGCGUAAAUAAGUAGGCGAUGGCUGGCUUGCAACUUCGGUGUAUUUAUUUAGGGAACUCAGCUUAACUCCGGUCACUGUUGGCCGAGACCACGCCGUACAAACGCUUCCGCACACACAGCCCCCAGAACUCGGGUUGUCUCGCGAGACAAUCCCCCCACCGGAAUAGGUCUCAUAUAACAACAUUGACUUCUGCUGGUAACAUUAGUGCAUAAAGGCAACACAUGCAACAUCUGCAUUACUGAAGAACUCAUAAUAACAGGGACACAUUAACUCAGCUCAUUACAGUACACAGCCUCCCCUGGACAGCAGGGAAAUUUGCAGCAUUGAAUCAACAUGCCGUAUUCUUAAAAGACUAGUUUAAAAAAAUAUAUAUAUACGUUCAUUUGAAUGAUUUCAUAAGAUUAUGAUUGUGUACAAUUUGCAGAUAGUACGCUCUUUCACUACUUAUAACCCUGUUCACAGAUGGGUUCACACUCUUCGUCACACACUGUAGAGCUCAGCGCUCAACACUCAACAUCAAUCCAGCCGGACCCAACAGCUGCUAAUUGACAGCUGUAAGUGUGGAGCCAGAGGGCGGAGGGUAUUUUUAAUUACACACCACAUCUCCAUGGCUACAAAUGCGAGAGGGCGGAAGUCACGCCAUCAGGUCGGGAUGGAGAUUAAGUCCUACAGGGGAGCAGGGGAAUCGCACAGAUGACAUUCUCUUCCGCCUCUUUCUGCUUAUGCGAUGUUUACCAGUAAACAAUUAUCUCCUUACAUACUCACACACACACACACACACACACACACAAACCUCAAAUCAUCUUGUUCAGGCUGGUCCUUGAUACGUAUGGGCCCUGGACUCUUUGUAGCUCUGGUGGUGUAUGCAUUGCUGGCAGAGUGUUGGGGCGAUACAACAUCCUGCUCCAUGAAUCCUUGAUCACAGAAAGUCAUGUUCCGUAUCACAGCGCGCAGUGUUGGGAUCUAAGACGCGGCUGGGUUUUUUUUUUGUUUCCCUUUUUUGAACGAUUCCGCUCUCUUUCAUAAUGCCUCCAGAUUAGACGGUAAAAGUGGAAACUGGUAACAGGAACAGGAUAAUUAAUUCAGCGGCAGAUCUUAAUCCUUUAACAGCACAAGCAAAACGUCUGAACUGUUUUGUCGUUAAUGUGCUUAUGCCGUCUUGCCUGCCGCCAUGCUUUGCUCAAGGGGUUGUCCCUCUCUCCCUCUCUCUCUCUCUCUACCUCUCUCUCAACCCCUUUUCCAAAUCCGAGAAAAAGAUAUAGACGGCAGGUUGGACUUGAUCUCUACCCCAUAUAUGAUGAAUUUUCAAAUUUCUCUUCGCCAUAAAAUUGAAUUGAGGUCUCCAGCUCACCCUCUGCCCCCUAUAUUUCUCACUCUGAACCUCUACUCCCAUGAGUUUUAUCAAUUUACACAGUCUGAGUCCUCCCGCUCGCUCAUGAGUUUGGCCAGUUAGAUUAUCUAUGAGAGAUUCGGAUCAAGAAGAAAAUGACUGGACCUCAGAUAUUACUUUACUUUGCAAUUCUAGAAAUGUAUUAAAUGCAUGCACAAUAUUGGUAAGAUAUCUACCCCAGACAGCCUUCACAGAUCCAGCUCUAACCUAGCUAGACUCCAUACAGACUUACCCCUAUUCAAGCCUGGAAAGUGAGCGCCGUGCUGAAACUGUCUUUCACUUACAACAGGGUCGAGCACAUCCUGCCAGCUCUAAUUGCGAGGUUUUUGCAAAACACUUUUCAGAGAUGUUUCCUCCCAGACAGGUAUUGAAAGGUGCAUGUUUGAAUUGAAUGUACUUUCUGCUCUGGGCACAGGAGUUUAAUCGCUUUGACUUCACAUACCUGACUUCACCUCUGCGCAGGAGUUUAAUCGCUUUGACUUCACAUACCUGACUUCAUCUCUGCUGCCCAAACACAGUCAACUCUGGGCUAAAAAGGAACAGGCUAGAAAAGUCCAGCUCCCUGUAGGGCGGUUUACUGUGGAGUUCAAACCGCUAGCCUCCAAUCCUAAAAUGUUAGGCUACUCUGAGCUGCCCGCAAGCUGCCAUGGCUACUUUUUCAUAUUUUGUGAAAUUACCAAUGCGCCCCCGUGAAUCAAUAAUGCAGGCAUAUUAAUUAACAACAGCAAUCCUUAAUAGCAUAAACUGUAUAAAAUGGAUGUGAAAGCAGUGUGGUGUUUAAUAGCCAACAGUGUAAUGCUCACUUAAAAUCUACGGACAAGUAAUCUCAGUUUAUAUUAAAGAAUGGUUUCACAUUUAUUGUGUGUCUUAACAAACCACUCAGUUGGGGAUGAAUAUUCAACAAGUUUUGCCUCCAAUGAAAAUGGCCAAAAUAUAUUUGUUGUUGAUCUGGUGCUGAUGCAAUGCCUCUUAGUUAACCAGAUGAAGUAGGUACUGUAUUAUGUGCUGUGUUAUAAAUGAAAUUCCUUCUAAUGAAUGUAUGAUAUGUGAAAUAAAUGUGACAAACACUAUAACUUGAUCAGUGACACAAAAACAAGAGUAAAACACAGCUGCAAGCCUGCCGUUUACACUGGAUGCUCAUCCCUAGCGUUCAAGGCUUUAGAUUAAAAAAUGUGUGCACUGUCUUUCAGAGAAUUGGAUAAAAAAAAUCAUACCACUUCAUGUCUGUACGCUUAUUACGUUGUUGGAGUCGCAGCCUGUUAAGUUAGCUUAGCCUCAUAAUGAGCCACAGGGAAAACAUUUAGCCUGGCUCUUUCUGGGACUGGAGAUUUAACUGGUUGCCUGGCAACGGCACAGUUAUCAUAACGCUCCGCAACGUUAUGUUACGUUAUGAUACGCUACUACGUUAUGUUACUAUUCCAGGACAAGAAAUGGUAAAAACACAACUUGUUUUCCAGGUUGGAUUUUGUACGGAUGAAACAAAUUGAGUUAAUGAAAAACUUAGCUAUUUCCACGUUUUCCAGCUGUUGGUUCUUCAUAUUUACCUCAAAAACUGGUUUCAAUCUUCUGAUCAUUUUUUUAAACUUCCCCUCCUACUGUUAUGGCUUACAGUUAUUAAUUUGGGGCAAAUCAUUUUUGUUAAAGGGGAACAAAUCAUUUGCACAUAGAUAAAAAAUGGUUCAAUUUGUGUGAACUUGUGAUCCCAUUUAAACAUGAGCAGUAAGAGCUGUAUAUGGUCUAAAAUCUCCCCUCUGUGUGUGCAACUAAAGGACACACUUAAAUGCUGACCUCAGAAAGUGACUUUCUAUCCCCAACUGUUUUUUGUUCGGAUUAAAUAAUGAAAACUCAAAGUGCAGUAUGUUUGAGUUGUAUUGUUUUGGCUCUGAACUCCAGCACAUUCGAUUUGAAAUGAAACUGACUUUGAGGUUAAAGUGCUGACUGUCAGCUUUAAUUCUGUGGUGUUUACAUCCCCGUCUGAUUAACCAUAGCAAUGCUUGCCCUCUUUACACGUAUCCCCCAAGGAUAAAAAGGUCUACCAGUCCUACACUGUUCAGCCGAUAUAGAUGUGAACACCCUCAAACAGCUUUAAAGCUGAAAGUCAGCACUUUAACCGUAAAGUCAGUUUCAUUUCAAAUCCGGUGUGUUGGAAUAAAGCCAAAACAAUGAGAAACAUGUCACAUUGCUGACAAUACUGCCCCACACUACACUUGCCUUCCACUCCCGUUACACAGGUUCAAGAAGAGAAGCAUAGCGUUUACUCUUAAGUGUAUCACAGCAACACCCGGUCACAUACACAAACGCUAGGGUGCCACAACAAUAAAUAAUAUCAUCUUCCUUCUCCUCCAGCCACGUCUCAGGCUGACAUGGAAAUUGUUGAAAACCCACUAAAGAAAUUUUAAUAACAUCUUUCACCUGAGAACCUAAUGGUUAUGGCAAAGAAGAUUCCCAUGAUGGCAGCAAAUAAAUCUAAUUAGAGGAGAGAGAUAUGCUCAUGCGCCUGUAAGGCAAGGAAUAGCCAGGUGCUGUUAUGCAAUCCAUACUUGUCAGAAUCUACAAUCUGACUUGUGUUGCCUGGGAUAUUGAGCAGUGCAUUAGCAUGGAGGAGAUCAUCAUCAUGAAGGAUAGCAAGCUGUUUCUCUCCUCCAUCCCUCAUUUAUUCACUUGGACAUUCAAAUCCUCUACUUGAUAAAUCACUUCUCUUACACAAGAGAUUUGUUGAGAUGCUCUCCAAAAAAGUUCUGAAUGAGGCACUCUAUCAGUAUGACUUCAGAUGGCGUUGUAUGUGUUCACUAUGCUGCGAGCAACUGCAACCAACCGUGUGCUAAAGUCAAUAAAAAACAGAGUUGGAUAUGACAAAGACUUAAAAUAUAUUUUUUAAGGGAAACAAAGCCCGGAUGAACCCAGCUUGUGAACAUGGUUGGACAUUACACUAACAGUUUUCUCCAUUCAUUUAAAACGUGUUAAUAUGUCAAUGUUGUUUGGCCAAAAGGUUUUUGGAUUGUUUAAGAUAACCUACUAAGAUAAGAUAACAUUAAAAGUACAAGUUGAUUAAAGCGUGGAUUGUGCUUAAAUUGCUGUACUUAUCAAUAACCGGUCAUGUUAUUAUAACGAUUUAGUUCAUAGAACCUAUAUUGUAUGUCUCAGUUUCAGACAGAGAAUACAAAUACAUUGAAAAUGAUGCAGUAGAUGUUUCAAAGUAGACUGCAAACUCUGCAACUUGAAUGCAACUUCUGUGUUUUAAAAAUCCUAGAUAAGCCUGCCAAAGCAAAGGUCUCAUAUUUUGUCAUGAAUCUUUAGCCAUACUGAGGUUUACUCUAAAGCCUGCAUUCACUUGUUGUAAAUAUUUUUUUGGUGUUUUCUCCAGAUAGUGAAUAUUGCAUUUUGGAAUAGUCCAAUGAAAAAUGCAUCUUGAAGGGCGAGGACUCAUGGCUUUUAGAGCAUUUCUCAGCCAUACCAGGUUAUCGCAUGACUGUUUCUUCUCUGAUGGUGCAAUGAUCAAAUAUAAUGGGGAGGGUUAAUACUCCCACAGCAUUUUACUCAGGAAGAAAUAUUGGAAGCUAAAAUGGCCCCCUAGGGAUGCAUAAACAAAUAGCCUGUGAGGGAAAGUUUUUACUCUCCCUCUCUCCCUCUUCUCCCUCUUCUCCCUUUUCCCCAACCUCUUCAGUGUCUAUCUCUCACUGUCUCUCUCAGCUCGUGUCUUUCUUGUGUGUCUACCCCUCCUCAACAGCCAGAAUCCCUAAAAUCCUCAUUUUCUAUGUCUGUCUUGUUAGGCACCUCUCUGUAAACAUUCAGAAAGUGGAAACUUUCUGGUGAGUAUUGUUUUGGCAGUCGAGCACAGCAAAGAAAUGGCAAAAUAACCCUUCCCAUUGCUUAGUGGCGGCCUGCGCUGUCUCUCAGCUGACAUGUUCGAAUCAAUAAUUCACAUCCAGUGAGGGUGCGUGUGUCUACAUGCAUGAUGUGGGUUUUUUUCAAGCCAGUAUCAGCCAUCAGAGAGGCCUCGUGCUCUGUGUCUGACAGAUCGACGUGUUGGUUUAUCAGGCAGAUCCUUGGUCUGAUAUCAUUUUCACGGGCAAUUAAAGUCAGCAGCAGGUGCUGAAUCUCGGCUAAUAAGGACUUACAUAGUCUAUACAAGGUUAAUUGACAAAAAAAAAUGCAAAGCUGUUAGUACAUGACAAGUGAAUAUCUGUGUGUUUCUGCUGGAGUAUGGCUUAUGUACAGGCUGUUGUGAGUGUGUGUGUGUGUGUGUGUGUGUGUGUGGGUGUGUGUGUGUGUGUGUGUGUGUGUGUGUGUGUGUAUGUGUGUGUGUGUGAGCCUUUCCAUGAACACACAGAUAUUAAUAUUCUGGAUGCAGAAGCAGGUUUGCCACUGGCACUAUUAUCUUUGUGGAAAAACAAAAUGAACACCACAGUCCGUUUUAAAAUGGCCUCGGCAAGGUGCAGCAGAUAAUCAUAUAAUUUGCAGAUUUAAUUGGAAAUAUAAAUCCCAAUGCACACACCAUUACGGGCAGCUUUGUUAUCCACCUCGCCGAUUGAUGCAUGAUGACACUGCAAAUGCGGAGGGUCACCCGUGUCACUUUUAAAUAUCACGGCACCCUGGUAGAGCUGAUUGGAGCACCACGAACACAUUUAAGUUGCUGUUCUCGCAUAUUGCUGAGAGAAAUUACCUCUUCAACUGUCUCUUUCUGCAGCAGCCGAGAUUGGCUAGAUUUCUUUCCAUGCUCAUUUUCUCCAUUUGACAGAGUGUGGCUCUGCUCAUGUUGCCGUUGCUGUUGUUUUCUUUGCAUGAAAUUUCACCGAUAUAGCUUGCGUACUUUAUUCAGACAUUUCAGUCUUGUACUAUACGGGAUGUGUGAUAGCGCGAUUAUGUCAUUAUGAUAUUUCAUCUGGCAGUGGGGGUGCCUGAGUUGGUGGUCCACCUGAAAUGGCUGCAGGCUCCCCGUACAUCUCCAUACAGUAUUGCAGCAGAGUGUAAUGCUUUAUCAAUAAACCACUGGACCGUUUGCUGUUUUCAUAAUGGAGUCGAGAAAGCGCGCUCUGGCUCCUAAUUACCGAGGCAAACAGAGCUUGGCAGCAAUUCAGUAGAAAAAAGUGGAGGAGAAAUGGAUGGGAGGAGGAGAGGGGGGAAGGACACGAGAAGAAAAGACCUUAAAAGAACACCGUUUGCUUGCUCAUCCCAAACCCAAAGCUAAUUAUAUCUGCUGAAGCAAGAGGAAGGUCCUCUCAUGCCCAGUAGACCCACCUCGGGCAUCACUGUUUGUCUCUGCAGGUAUGAUUAGUCCAGUUCACAUUCUCCACCUAAAUUUUGACUGGAAUUACUUUUUUGAGGACAUAAGUAAUGUCGAUUGUCGACUAUACAGAAUCAUAAUUUGAUGGCCACUGUGCAACACCCUUGGCUAGAUCUCACGUGGAAACCGAGAAAAAAAAACAAUCAAAGGGUAAAAGCAUCUGGAGGCCAUUUGAAUCUGCACCAGAUACAAAAUCAAUAUUAAAAUGAAAGAGGCAAUUAAAAAACGGAAAGGGCUUUCAGGUAAUUGUGUUGCUAACAAGGGACGUGAAUUGGCUCUUGAGAUUGUGCUCGCAAAAACAGUCAGUUUUAACACACAAAAACUCAAGAGAACGUAAGCUGGGGUGCAGUCUGCACCGUCACACUGUAAGAAAAACUGUGUACAACAAUGCGAGUGGUUAUGGUCCAGGUUGUUGCCAGUAAUGCUAAAGUGUUGAUGCUAAGUUACACAUCCAUUUUGCACCUAAGUAUGCUUAAAUUUGCUGAUUAGCAAAAUAAACAAAGUACAGCAUAGGUUUGUGGGAAUGUCAAUAGUUUAGUUACUCAAAUUUAAUUUAUUUAAGUCCUUUCGGGGACCACGAUCGUCGAAAAAAAAUGUCAUGCAUGGAAAUCCCUCCAAAAGCUUUACUCGAAGCCAGCUAAGACAUGUGUCGUGGACAUAACAUAAAUAAAUACUCAAACCGAUUCAAACGUAAUGUUUUUAACAGGCAACUGUGCCGGCAAGCGGCGUGAGGGGCCUCAGCUGUAAGGAGUAUGAACUAAUUGUGUUGUUCCCACAUAUAAGCAGAGGACUGACGGACGACGGGCAGUGGGGAGAACGACGCAUCCUUGUUAGUCGGUGCAUAGGAAAUUAAAACCUUUGUACGAGUGACUUGUCUUUACGCUUUAAGAGAACCCAACAGGUAACAGGCAUUGCUUACAAUCACGUGGAAGAGAAAGUAAAAAACCACCAAUCUUUUUACCGUCUAUUCUUGGCUGGUUUGACUAUGAGCUUCAUUACAGAAAAAAAAGGAUGUUUACUACUGUGACACUGAUGAGCUCCAAAAAAUGUGGAUGUGUGGAUACAGGCGUCCGUGUGGUAUUGAGCAGUGUCUGACAGAUCCUAACCCCGGGCCAUUGGCCAGCUCUAAUGACUAUUGACAACAACCUGAGCCUCUUUGACUUUCAACCUAAUUCACUCAUGGAAAGAGGAAAUCAGUGCCUUAAGAAUGCCAGCGACAAAUAGAGUUGGGGAAAUCAACAUCUAGGCUUCGACUCAGUCUAAAUUCAGUUAGAAAACAGCAGUCAGUCUUCUGUAUCUUUGAAUUAAACAUGCAGUGCUUUUACCCCUUUAUUUUCAUUCAAAUAUUCAUGGUUUGGAAAUUGCCUACUUAGAGGUCGCUCUAUAAGUAUGAGACUCUUUUUGGAGGAUUUUAUAAUAGAUUAGAAAAAGACACGAGGUUGGUCACCGGUGUCUUUUUAGUGAUUACCUCAGUAACACCGGUCUUGAAACCCGUGCACUUAUGUGAAUAUGGCGUUAUGUUAAGAGCACAUUGGUACAAGAGGCACUAAUGACAGCACUUUAGCGUAUAACAAUAAAAACUUGUGCUCAUAUAAACUAAGGUGUUGCACCCAAUGAAUACGCAGUAGCCUUUGAUCACAUUAGCCAAACGUUCUUGCUAAUUUUCCUCAAUAACUCAAUAAAACUUCUGUUUUUACCAUUUCAAAUUACUUUAGAGCCAUGAAGGUUUAAUUCACAUAAAGCUAUACCAAACGAUCACAUAUCAAAAUUGUCAUUAUGGUCAUAAAAAAGGAAGAUUUUAAUAUAAAGGAAGGUGAAGGAAAAAAGUCUUUCUAACAUCAAACUAGUUUUAACAUUGAAAAGCACCUAACAAAAUGAAUGCGAUAUUUAAUCUUUAACCACCACCAAGCCAAAUCAGUUUGUCACCUCUCAGCGCACUUCAGAUUUCCAUAGGGCGUUAUAAUUAUUACAUGUCAUUUAGCAGACACUUUUAUCCAAAGUGAUUUACAAUAAGUGCAUUCCAACCAUAAGAAUACAGACACAAAAGAAACAAGAAAGUGCAAUUUCAUCAAAUAAGCCCAUCUGCAACUUCCUAUAGAUAAGAGCCAUUAUAAGUACAAUUUAAGUGCUACAAUUUGUUAGUCAAGGUAGAGUCUGAAGAGGUGCGUCUUUAGUUUGCGGCGGAAGAUGUGAAGACUCUCUGCGGUACUGAUGUCAUCAAGAGAGCUCGUUCUACCAUUUCGGAGCAAGGACAGCAAGGAGGAGUGAGUGGGAGAAUUUCAGAAGGUUAAAGACCAGUCGAGCUGCUGCUGCAUUCUGGAUGAGCAGCAGAGGUCGAAUGGCGGAAGCAGGGAGACCUGUGUGGUGGAAGAUUUUGCACAGACAAUCGUUAAGUAAGAAACAAAGGCUCUGAGUCAAGUAUGUCUUUUCUCCGUUUAUUUCCUUGCAAGGGAAAGAGGGUCACAACAGCUACGUGGUCAGUAGACUGUCAAGAACCUCCUCUCCGCCCCCAACACAUCGAGGCAGUUCUUAUACCCAAGUUUAGAUAUCGGUGGUGUCAACAGAAACCUUUGACCAUCUUGUUUAGUAUCUACAGCCAGGGUACUGGGAACAUCUUAUCCAUGUAAGACACGUCAGUUCUUUGACAGUGUCCUUGCUCUCCCAACAUGCGAGAACAAAUGUGGUCAUAGACAUAAACACUUUGUUCAAUCUCUACAGCUAUGACUGCUGGAAACAUCUAAUCCAAGUGGGAGACUUCAGUUCUUAUGUCAGGGCCUUUGUGAUCUAUCCACUUGCAACUAAUAAACUGGUUAUACAAAUGAAGCAUUUAAAAGGGUUACAUAUUAUUUUCCCAUUACACCUGCCAGGAGGGAGUUGCAGUAGUCCAGGCGGGAGAAGACAAGAGCCUGAAUCCGUAACUGUGCCGCCUCGGAGUGAGAAGAGGACGUAUUCCUCUGAUGUAGAGCGUGGAUCUAUAGGAUCGUGUUGUCGCAGUGAUGUCGGGAGUCAAGGAAAAUUGGCUUCUAGUUCCUCAGUCAAAGUGGCCGUUAACACGGAGUUACCAAAGUUAACAGUCAAGUUCUAGGUCGGAGAAUCUUUUCCCGGAAAGAGUAGUUCAGUCUUGUCGGGGUUGAUUUUCAGAUGGUGUGUGGACAUCCACUGAGAGAUGUCAGUCAGAGAUCCGUGACCGCCACCGGAGUGUCCAAGUGAGGGAAGGAGAGAAUUAGUUGGGGGUCAUCGGCAUAGCUGUGGUAGGAGAAGCCAUGCGAGAGAAUGACAGAGCUGUGAGAGUUGGUGUAGAGAGAGAAGAGGAAGGGACCCAGGACGGAACCCUGAGGAACUCCAGUAGUAAGACAAGGUUCUGACACAGAUCCUCUCCAGGUUACCUGGUAGAUGCGGCCAUCAAGGUAGGAUGAAAGAAGGGAGAGAGCAGAGCCUGAGACACAAAUUGUCACGGAUGCAGGGAAGGUAGGACUCAAACGCAGAGUUUCAAACAAAAAUACUUUAAUGGUCAAAAACUCAAAAAAAGCAAAAAGGCCAAGGGGCAAAAACGGCAAUGGGAACCAGGAACGUUCAACAAUGACGCAACAAGUGACAAUAGACACACAUGGCUUAAAUACACUAAGGAGGUGCAGGUGAUUGGACACAGGUGGAAACAAUCAGACACGGCAGACAAUCACCGGGGAUGACAGGACAAGGCAGGAAGUGAAGUUACCCGGGGACACGAGUAGCAGAAAACUACAAAAUAAAACAGGACGUGAACCCAAACGUGACACCAAGUUCCUGAAGGGAGGAGAUAAGGAUCUGGUGGUUUACUGUGUCAAAUGCAGCAGAAAGGUCCAGAAGGAUGAGGACAGAGGAGAGAGUGUGGAGUUCUGAGACCGCGAGGAGAGCAGUCUCUGGAAUGGCCUGCCUUAAAGCCUGACUGGUGGGGGUCUAGGAGGUUGUUACGGUUGUUAACUCUUGCCUCCUUCAGAGAGUUUGGAAAACAGACAGAUGACAGAACAGUUAAUGAGACAGGUUAGGAAAGGAAGACGGUCAGGAGCGAUAGAUUGUAGGAUAUGGGAGGGAAUGGGGUCAAGAGGGCAGGUGGUCAGACGGGCAGAGGUUACAAGGGUAAAAACUUGGUUAGGGGACAGGGGGGUGAAAGAGGGAAGCGAUAAAGGUGAAGUCGGUGAAACACAAGUAAUAGGAGAUUGGUUGUAGAAAGCGUCAGGUAUUUUUUUGGUAACAUAGUUGACAAAGUCUCCCGGAAGAAGGGUGGAGGGGGGAGAAGGACUCUGGGAUUCGAGGAGGUUGGAGAAGAUAGAAAAGAGUUUUUGGGGGUUAGAAAAAGAGGAUUCAAUUCUAGAUUGGUAGAAAAAGCUUUCAGCAGCAGAGAUAGACGCAGAAAAAAGGAGAGAAGAGAUUGAAACACAAGCAGGUCAUCAGGUUGUUUAAAUUUAUGCCAUUUCCCUUCCAGUACUCGCAUAGUGGCUCUCACGGCACGCACCGGUUCAGACAGCCAUGGAGCCGGAUGGGAUUUUCCAGCCUGUUGUGUCGUAAGAGGGCAGAGAGAGUCAAGAGAGAAGGACAGGGUUGAGAGAAGAGUCUUUGCGGCAGCUUUCGGAUGUAAGAGUGAGAAAGAGUCAGUUGCGGGGAGAGCUGAUAGAACACAGGAGGCCAGAGAGGAGGGAGAGAGGGAGCCAAUAUUGCGACGAACCGUUACAUGUUAGUCGUUAGUUAGAGAGAGCGGAAGAGAGUAGGAGAUGAAGAAGUGGAGUUACAGUGAGGUUAGCGGUAAAGCAGUUUCUAGUGAAGAUGUAGUCAAGGUGAUUUCCGGCUUUGUGAGUAGAAGGAGAGGGACUGAGUGACAGAGCAAAAGAAGAAAGUAGGAGUAAAAGGUCAGACGACCAAAAUGCCUCUGCCUUUGGAUAGACCUAAAGCCAAUAUAACUGACAAAACUGUGACCCUGUCUGUCCGAUGUAGGAGGCCAUUCACAGCACAUUAGGGUGGUGUUAAGUGGGUCUGCCAGAGAAAAUAAAACAUGAGCUUGCAGAUUCUCCCAAUUCCCAGACCACCGUUUACCAUUUUUUUUCCCGGAACUAAACCUCGUCCCACAGCAGCACCUCCACAGAUUCCUAAACUCUAAUUAUUCAGAAGUUUGGCAGAGGAGUGAGGCCAUGAAGAGGGAGGGAAGGAGACGUGGAAAAACAAAAGGGUAUGCUCAGCAGAGAAGCUUUUACCUCAGAUAAUGAGCCGGUAAGGGGAGACUGACCGAAUGAGGCAGACAGAGACCAGCUGAUAACGUGCACACAGAGAGCAGCAGCCGCCAGCUAGCGGCCAUUUCACGGCAAACAUCUAAAGGAUACAGAUGAGAUCAGAGUUUUUCUUUUUCUCCAUAGGAAGGGGGAGUGGUGGCUUUACGACAUAAUUAAGGUGGCCUCAGACAGAGCACAAAGUUACCCUUAGUCUUUGAGUAAGCGACAAUUCUCUGAAGUUCAUCCCUUCAGGCCUAACUCUCAGAAUGUUAAAGUAACCUCCUUUUGUCGUAAUGAUCAUAACCCAUAGCUAAUGGAGCACCAAACGACGGGUAAAAGGAUUCAAAAAGUGGCUUGAAAACAUUGAAUUAAAAUCAUAGAGUUUCCAAGCGCUAAUUAAGCUGCGGUCAUCAAGAUCAUUAUUUUUCACCAGUGUCUCAUGAGAAGGAAAACCAGACCUAAUGAGGAUCAAAUGCACAUAUAGAGCAUGCAAGUUUGAUGACAUGUACAUUAAUAUGACCAUUUUAAAGCUGUAUAGUAAACCCAACAUUUAGGCUUUAGUGGCAUUUGGAGUUUAGAAGAUACUUAACACAAGAAUGGUUCAUUUCACACUGUAUAUUGUUCAUUUUUGAGGCAUUUCAUUGUAAUGUUAAAGAACAGCACAAUAGUAAAACAGAUCCGAACCAAAUUUAAAUUAACUUCCAUUUUCUUAGUCAAAAUGAGAAGGACAUGGAUUCGUGGAAGGGAUGUGACUGCAGGAAAUGAAAAGCCUUGUUCAUGCCAAGAGAGGAAUCUUCAAGCAUUUAUUUACUUCAUGUGGCAGUAAGUAAAUAAAUGCUUGAUGAUUACAGCCUACAACACUGUGGUAUUGAAAUAGUAAAAGGCAUCGUUAUUGCACAUUAUUCAGAGUCUACACCUCUGUAGGGCAGAUUAUGUUGCAGUAUCAUCUUUUUUGACAUUAUUUUAUUGCAUGCAAAAUGUUUCUAAGUAAGAUAACUUGAUUGUAUUAUUGGUUUUAGAAAAUGUGUUAUGUUUCAUUAGAACUUUGUUUUAUUAUCUAAUUCGUGUAUAUAUUACUCAGCAUAGGGUGUAUGUGCAUUUUUAAGAGGCCAUAAAAUGGACGAGGUGAUGGAGGAGGACAGUUUGCCAUUUCUAAUUGCCAUGGUUCCUGUUGCCUGGUUGCCUGGAAGGCUGUGCAGGAAUGGUGCAGACACAAAUAUUCUCUAAUGAGUAUUAAUCUAAUCACUGUCUGAUAUAAACAGGGCCUCUGUUUGAAUGUCAGACCCCCACCGCCAUUGCUACCUGCGUCUGACAUUUAGGACGAGGGCAUUUGCAUUUUCAAAAAAAAAAAAAAAGUCUUGACAAAUUGAAGGACAUUGAAGGGGGGUGCUAAUGACGGCCUGUGAAAAUUACCUCGUCCAUCCUUUAGAAGAAAUUCUCAAACAAGAAACUUGUCAUUUUCUUAAUUAUGUAAUUGUGUCUCCUUGGGAACUGAAUGUGCUUGAUGCCGGUGGCUUUGUCGAAUUUAGAGCUGCAUCAUACCUCCGCUGAUAGUAACCAAAGAAAGUACGUUCCCUUCAGAAAAUCAACGUGAAUGUUGAUCACGUUACUGAUACAGCUCAAGGAAUAUGUGUGUGUUUUGAAUAUAUUUUAGCAUUGAGGUGUGAAGAUCUGUUGAUGUCAUACACACAACAAAGAAUAGCACUACAGCACCAGUGGGAAAUAAAGCUUCUUGUGUGCUCACCUUAACAAAGAAAACAGUGAAAACUGCACCCUUGUCUGUCUUGUUUACCUCAGUAGAUUGAGAGGGUUACCUCCACGGGCACGGGGACAUGAAUAAUGCCUACCACCUGCACCUGUUUCCUCUGGAUGCUGCGGCUUUAAUUACCUCAAUUAGCAUUUGGGAGAUUGUUUGUAAGGAUCUGUAUCUACUGUGAUGGAGCAUACGCUCGGAGGGGAUGCUAACUCAAUGGAAAAAAAACAGACAAAUUGUCUUCCACCUUAACCUUCUGCAGUAGUUGUGACUCGGAGCGCACUUAGAAUGAGUUUUGUGCCUUGCCAAGAUGGAGAGAUGGUGAUAAUGUGCUGACACGUGAUUAAAUAAGACGCCGUGCUGCUAAACAUUAGUGUGUCUUGGGGAAAGAUGGCCGCACCAUCAAAAAAUGAGGAAGCGACUGGUAAUCUCUGAUCUGCAGAUCAACAAAACAGCAUUAUUUAAAGACACAAGAUGACACAAAUGUAAACUAAUGGAAUUCUCAGACUGUUGUCCUCCCUGCGGAAGUUAAUUAAAAAGUCUGAGGAAGGGAGUGUGCAGGUUUCAGCCUUCUUUUGUUCAGCUUACCCAUCCAAAGUAUCCUGCACCAUGAUUUUGUUCCCGCUUCAUCCGGUGAUCUGUAUCGUGUGAUUUGUCCCCUUUCAUUUCCAUAAUGGCUUCCUGAGCUCCCUCAUGGAAACAUAUGGAGACCCCUUCUCACUGUAUAGGAUUUGUCCUGCGCUAAUGGAGCUGAGAUUGGAUUCUGGCACUUAUGUGUGCGAAGAUGAUUCCUCCUUCUUAGUUCUGUUCUCCUUUGCCUCAUACAUAAUACAUAGGGUUAAAGCAGUAUUGCUUUGCAGGAUAUCUCAUUUAUUAACAUGGAAGUCUCACAGGGAUCAGAAAGCUCAGCAUCAAAGUUUGCCUCUUCACUCCUCUCAUCAUCACUGAGAAGCACUUGAAAUUUCCACUAACAUCUCUGAAUACGACUGUAUUCAUUUCAAAUUUAAUAAUCUGUCUUUACCAGAAUGAAAAUCAAAUUUUCACACCGAAAAUGAGUCUUUUAGGAGCUUUUCGGAAAGAAGGACAUGACAUUAUUAGAUGAAUGGGCAUACACAAAGCAUGUGACAUGUAACUUUGUCUCGGGACACUGUUGUUGCAUCAUGUAUCCAGCCAAAUGUUCAUCAUCUUCUGUACCUUAUCCUUAACCAGUGUACUUAUUAUAUAUAUUGUGACAUAUCUCAAACCACCAAAACCAACGAUAAAUUAAUCUAAUAUAAAAAAGUAUAAUCUGUGUGGCCAAAGCCGCUCCAUUUUUGUCCAAAAACUAUAAACAGCACAUCAGACACAUUUUACUAGGCGGCAUGUUGCUUCAUUAUGAUGAACGCUGUAGUUCAUUUUGAAUCAAUCUCACACACACACACCAUGCUGCUGCCAUAAAUACUCAUUAGAGUGGUGCGCGUGUAUUAAUCCACACCUGAAAGUAGUGCCUAACAAAUGCAUAAUUUAAUGCUGGUUGCUUAUGCUUCUCCAGCUGUUUUAGGAAAUGACUGAACUUUUUUUGUAGCUUUUAAAGGGCUACUUUUUUCAUUAGAGUGUUUGUGAGUGUUUUUUAAAAUGCACAUAUUCAUUAGAAACACAAGGACCACAGACAGGUAAGAUAUGAUGCAGAUCAUAAGUAAUUUGGAGGAUCCUGUGGCUCCUUCUCCGUCAGUGCUUUUGAUCUGAAGCAUCUGUCCAUUACUCUUUAUGGUGCUGCAGAUCUUUGCUGGUCUUGAUGGCUGUUGAACUGCAAAACCUCCUAAUGCAGCAUUUCAGGUAAGCAAUAAAUAAACAACAUUUUUUUGACAGCUUUCCUCUACGAAGUUAGAGAGGGCCAGUUGGAGCCCUGGACCACAUAUGAUUUAUUUUGUAAUUAGCUGAAGACUAGAACACAAAUUGAGUAUUUAACUGAAGCAGAAAAUCCUUAACUCUGCCCUUGCGUCCUCAAAGUAAUGGCCUCAAGCUUGUCUAUGUCUCCAGUAACUUGUGUCCAACAGGAGGAGGUCUUUUUAAACACCCGCUGCCCUCAGUCCAAGGUAGUUGGAGCCCAGAGCAAUUACCUCUCCCUCUCUAUUUCAUCCCCACUCGCUUCCCCCCACCCAGGAUGGAGCCACAUCUCCAUAAGUUAUUUCAUUAUCUCAGUAGCUCCGCUUUCUCCUUCUCUUCACUGCGUGGUUUGUCUAUCUCCCUGUAUGUAUUGCUUCCUUUGGGAGGUCACACACAAGGGUACGGCAUUAUCUACUAGAGGGCAUUCCACAAAGGAUUUUUGCUUAUUUGCUAGAAAUAACAAUCCAAGCUGCCACACUACUUCAUUCAUGGACUACUGCUAAACUGAGUUUCAGUCAUUGCUGUUUAAUUUAUGGUGAGGAGAUACUGUACCCUUACCUUUUAUUUAUUUUUAUUAUUCAUAUCUGUAUUUUGCGUAUUACGAGUCAGAGGACUACGUUUGCUGGUGCAGAAUGAACUAAAGGAUGUAGAUCAGGUGAAUAUUUGCUGUAAAAGAAUGAUGGAAAACCAGCUGUGAAGUAGUCGACAGCCAAAUGGUUACAACUGUCAAAUGGCCAAUGACACACCUGGAGCUUUGCAAAAGUAUUGAUUAAAUCCUUGUAGGGCUCCAGAUACUUAGCUACUUUGUUCUUCCAUGGCAGAAUAAUUAGCAGGACUCUUUGUGGGAUAUGGUUUAAUUACUUUUAACCAUCAUUAGGAAGCACACAAGAAGAAAUAGCCGGGAGCAGCAAAAAAACAUCUUUUGAUUGUCUUAUGAUGUAACGUAAGCAGUUGAAUUGUAAUUAGCAGCAUUCUAUUAUUAGUAGUAUUUGAGGAAGCUGAGCAUUUCAAUGCAGCCUCUUUGGGAGCAUUGCAACAAAAUGUAUUGGAGCAGCUGAAGCUUUGUAACUCCUCAAACUCCUGGCAACAAGUGAGCUUAUAUUUGCAGACUGUACGACCGACUUGACCGCGUUUGCCCGUGUUACAUGCAUUCAUUCAAGUCUAAUCAUCAUUAUAGAGUCCAUUGACCCCAUCAGAGCGCUUGUGAUUUAUUUAAAGUGUGUGUUUGAGAGCGUGUGUGCAUACAGUAUGACAGAGUGUUUGAAAGGUGUGUGUUCCCGCAUGUCUCUGCUCCCUCCUGGUUUGACUCUGUAGUGCUUUGAUUUGAGCGCGGUGAUCCAGCUAAGACUCGGAGCAAAUACACGGAUUAGGCCGCGGCGGUGCAGAUAACGCUCUGAUCAAAGUGGCCCCGCUGCUCCGACAGGCACAGAGAGGAAAAUAUGUUAAAGGGAGAGAGGCGCUGCGCGCACACACGCAUUCAGAGUCACACUUUUUGUUAAUCAGACAGACAAACAGACAUGAGAAGAUUGUCCUGCUUUAUUUUCCUAUUUUGUACAGAGAAUUCCCUCCAACCAGUCGGGGCGUGGGCCUCUCGUCGGGGGCGCCGUGACCAAUGAGGAAUUGCUCUUCCUCCCCAAUGAGGCGCAAACACUCACUCUCACUCUGUUUCCUUCUUGUGGUCUUCACCACGGUCCUGCCAACCUUCGGUUACAACCAGCAGACAGAAAGAUAAGAGAGAGUGCCCUAUCUCAACCAACAUCAGUUUGUACACAAAGGCUGCCCCUUGUUUGUCGAUUAGUCAACUAAUCAAUCUUUUUAGGCAAAGAUGUAUUAGUCGAUUAGUCAUUUUGUUACUCUUUUUCAAGGUCAAUGACUCACUUCCAAGAAACGCAUGACCACAUCUCUGGAUGCACCGAUCGGACUUUUUUGUCGAUACCUGGUCUUUAGGAAAAUUUUGAUGAUUGUAAUAAUAAUAUAAGUACAGAUUACUCAUUUUGUACCUGGAACUUCAAUAAUCUAUAAGAGCAAUUAUAAUUUAAAUCCAUGCAAUACAGCAACUGAUUCGUAAAAACUCAGUGUAAACAUUCAUAAACGUUCCAGUGUGAAUGUAUGAUGCAUUAGAGUUGGGUUAUUUACCUGCUAUUUUCGUUAGUAUCCACCUGAUUUCAAAUAUUGUUAUGGGUAAAUGUGCAUGAUUAGAAUCAUAUUUAAAAGUGGACUUUUAUGGGAUUCUUGUGAAGAAACUAAAAUUACUGUAAAUUACUAGUAAAUUAGUCAACGAAACCACACUGUGUUGAAAUGCUCCAAAAGUGUCACAAGUUAUAAUAUCAAUUCAGUGUCAUGCCGUUGCUGCCCCUCCAUCUGCAUGGUGGAUGUGUACAAACUGUGCUCGAUUGACUUCUCCCUCACAUCUUCCUGUGAAUAGUUUACACCACAGGCCGUUCUCAAGGAAGACAAGCUAAACCGAACCAAAUGAAUCAUUUAUUUAUCCACACAAGCACUACUACUGUGCAUGUGAAAAUGUCUUCAUUUUUUAUCAUAAUAGUCCCUGAAGAGUGAUAUGAGUACGACUAUUGAAGUAAAGAAAUAAUGACUCAUUAUUUAACAGAAAUGAAAGACGGGAGCUGAGGUUUGCUCGUCCAAACUGAUUGUGACACAAUGAUUUCUUCAUCUUUGGGGCAUCGCCACAGUUAGAAUUCUAAUUCAUGUGGAAAUACUAAUACAUUGUUUCAUUAAAUUUGCAUACAGUUAUUUUCUGUGAUUAUCUCAUUACUUUACAAGAAAAUGAAAGCCGAUUCUGUAUACAGAAGCCAGAUAAAAUAAACUUGUGUCCAUCACAACUGGAGAAUCCCUCUCCAGUCAACUACAUGCGUGAUAAUUAAAGUAAAGACUUACAAUGUUGUACUUUCACAAACAAGCCAUUCAUACCGGACGUCACCUGGCGUGCCCCCAGCUACCUGUACAGUGUAUUUUAGUUUAUUACAGCUUCACGUCCCUCCCUCCCUCUGCCAUAGAGCGAUACAGUACCGAUCACCAUAGUAACUCCUGAUGGGAGUCUUGCUGCAGUCCAGACUUAAAGCGUUGAAGGGCUGCGCCUCCGCCGGCAGCAGCUCAUUACUUAUCCACGAAGGACUGUUAACCACACUGAAAUGGAAUCAGAUCUAUUCACAACAAUGGUUUUAAUUAGAUCUGUGAGCGCGCCUGGGUGUACACUACAGCGUUUGUGUGUGUGCUUGUCAGUGGACGGCAGCCACCUUGAGACCCGGGAAUCCCAUGUGGAACCUGUGUGGAGCUUCCAAUGUUUAUCACCUAAGACUAAUUGAUUAAUGUGUUUCACCGCCGAUGUUGUCUACAGAACAAAUGGCGCACACACACACACACACACGUACGCACUCUCAGACACACACAUCGCUGAACUUUAUGUAAUUAAAGCCUGGACAGACCAUGUUUUUCGGAUGCGCCAGUGCUGAUGUGGAAAAUAAGAGGGGAUUAAUGCAGCCCUCUGUUAAUUCCACAGCCUGCUCCAACACAAGAGGCUGACCCCAUAUAGACAGUGAAUCCUUUGCAGUUAAUAGGGUAAUUAAUACUUAAGUCUUCCUAACGCUGUACCAUUUUCCAUGGCAGCGUGACGCUACACCUUUUGACCAAGCAGGGUGUCCGGGGAUUUGGGUACAAAUCUCCUCUUAACUAUCCAAUUUUAAAAGGCUCAUCUACUGUUUUUCUGUUUGGUGUCGCACUAGUUUGACAAAGGGCUACACCAUUAAAUGUAUUAUCCUUAGGAUUAUAAUCAUGCGUUACUUAAAACGGGAUCAUCUCUUCAUUGCUGCAAUCACACGCAUUUUCAGUAGUGAAAAGUGUCUAGAAUGAAGGAAACAACAAAAUAGUCCAUACGGCUACAUAUCAUACUUCAAAGUCUGAUGCCCAUGUCCGUCUGACAUUUGAGCAACGCAAAGCGUGACAUGUCAAGGACAACAAAUAAUAAUAAUAAUAAAUUGAAAAAGAGUCUUGAUGUCUCCCUGUUGGACCGAGAAAGGAUCAGAGGGAUGGAUGACAAAGGAAAUGGUGAAUUGAGAGCAGGGAGGGAAGGUGAGCAGGGGAGAGAGAGAGAGAGAGAGUGAGCUGUGAUUUCCUGUGCGACAGAGCCCCAUAGCAGACAUGGGAGGAACAGCAGGUAACCGAGCUAUGGAGAGAGGCUCAAAGAAACAUAUAUAUAUAUUUUGUCUAGAUACGCUGUGGCCCUGUGAAUAGACGUUUUUGUCUUUAGUUCCUUAUUUAUUUAUCUAAAGAAGGGCAGGCACAUUGCACACCGGGUUCCAAUUGGCGGGAUUCCUCGGGGGCUCCGACCAGUGGGGGCAUACUGCAGCUGGGUAGACACACCAACACUCAAUGCUAAAUUUUAAUUAAGCGCUUAACAUUAACAAACUGCUCUUCAAUGGAAAUAAACCCACUGGGAAGGGAAGAACUACCGUCUUUUUACUGUCUUCUUAAAUAACCAGGGUAGGCUGCUGGCUAACUAAGUCUUUAAGCAAACUUUGAAUCCUUUUUGAUUUUAACUAUUAGCAGCUUUCUAGAUGACGUGCUUUUUAUUCCAAUUCCCUAAAUACGGUGCAAACUGAAUGUCCUUGCACGGAUACAGUUUCUAUUCAAAUGAAUUCAUGAAUAUUGUAUCAUCUAUUGCUCUUUUGUUUCUAAACCCCACAGGUGAACGGUUAAAUAUUCAUAGCUGCGUCAUGUCAAAACUCAGGGAUGUGUUUUAUGAACUUGCAAAUGUGAAAACUGUAUAUUCAGUAAUAUUCAUUUGAAAUUGCCUCAAUUUAAUAAGAUACAGCUGAUGUAAGAUCAUAUGAUUUCAUACCGUCAUUCAUUCACUCGUAACAGCAAGUUCCUACCCAUUUGCUUUUGAUUUUAUUGAGUCCCUGUCACUCAAGAAAUACAUUAAAUGCGAAGAGAUUAUCUAGAUUUGCAUUCACAGCCGCCAGUGUUGUCAUUGCAGGAAGUUGGUUUGAAUUAAUCUCCCCAUUCUUAGACUGUGCAUGCACACACUUCUGUUGGUGACUGUAGGAUGGAAGCUGAGAGCUGGUGAGGAGAAGACUCUCAACCUAAGACCAUGCCUAAACUUGCUGUUUGUUUGCUGUUGCUGUUUUUUUCCCCUCUCUUUAGUAUUAUAAAACUGUGAUUCCUAUGACGUUUCAUCAGUUUCUAUUUGCAAACCACACCCCUUUCAUUUUGGAAUUACAUUUGUAUAAUUCAAGAAUUUACACUGCCCUUCAAGAUAUCCCAAACUCAUCGGAAUGAUUGAAUGGAAAGACGGUUUUACAUUCAGCUCCAUUUGUGUAAAAUGUGUGUAAUAAAAGUUAUUAUGGUCUCACCCAUUUUUCUUUUUAGGUGCAUUUUCUCAACACUUCUUUUAGUAAACCAUUAAAGCAGAUGAGCACAGAGAAGGGUUACUUCCUGAGAAAGGCCAACAGUCAUGUGGUCUGGAGCGUCUGAAGAGCGUUUCUGAAGAGGAAACCAGCUUUGAACUCUGACGCAGAUAAACCUACAAAUGUGCAAAAUGUGCAACAAAACUGAAAUGUAAAUGCUGGUGAAACAAAAAGCCCAGCAAAUUGUGUUUGAUCGUGAGCACACCCUUUUUUUCAAGAAAGAAACAAUAGAACCGCCACAGCAACCAAAAGUGUUAACAAAAGUUACAUCUGCAUUAUUAGUGCCGUUUAUGCAUCGUAUAUAUUGUGAUUUUCCAAGAUGUUUUAACAUCCAGAUUGGUGCAGCUCAUGAUAAAAGUCAACUGAGAAGAACGCAGACUUGCAAUGACACGAUGCGUCCAUUUAAUCCAAGACUAUAAAAGUGCUGAAAGGUCAGUGUGGUCCAAAAAGCAAGCACAGUACUCACAGUCUGUGCAACAUAACUCGGGAACAAGAGCAUUUUCAACCUUUAAAUAUGACACGUCCAGGGAAAAGCCUAUGAGACAAGUGUGACCACUCUCAUUUGUGUGCCUCCUCUAAAUGUGAGGACUACACACAACGAUGGCGCACAAUAGUAAGUGGCAUAGCCGGGUCCAAAUAAUCAGCUGAAUGAAUGCAUUUUUCAGAAACCAUUAUUCGGAUGUGGCGAUGCGCGCACAACAGACGUACCCCACAACAAACGGAGGCAUCUGGAGAAGGGGAAAAAAAAGUUCUUUUCACUGAGCAGGCAUGAUAAGAGCGUCUGUAUUUCCCCUCUCCUUUAUCACUUGCCGUCCCAGACAAUGGAUUGAAUUUCAAAAGCCAAUAAACAAGGGAGAUGUCCAUUCUGCAUGGCAGUUAUCACAAGCCAGCGUCCCACUCUCAUUUGCACGCGCUCCCUCCCUCCUCCUUUUCCUUUCCCCCUUUUUGCUGAAAUGUGUAGGAAAAGAGAGAUGGAAAUUAAAAUCGGGGAGGGAGCGUUGCGAGAGAAGAAAGAAGAAGAGGAGAUGAGACGCCUUCAUGCUCUGGCUCUCCUUUCAUUGGACUGAUAAAGGAAAGCAUCAAGGCCAGGAGUGGAUGUGUUUUUUUCUGGUAACUGAAUGAGGCUUUUGAGGGUGAUAGUGGGGAGCUGCUCCCCUGAGAGAUGUUUGGAGGAAAGGGGAGUGGUGAGCCAACAUAAUAAAUAUUCUUAUCUGUUAUUGUCAUUGUAAUGGGACAGGGCAGAGGGAGGGAGGAUGCGACAGCGGAUAGCUCGGUCGGUGCCAAGGGACCUGACUGUGUUGACAUGCAGAAGGGAGAAAAUCAAAGGAGAAACGGGGAAGUGAGAGAUGAAACCGAGCGCGAGAGAGAUUUUAAGCCAGAGGGAGCGUGCGUGUGCUUAUUAAUGGGUCGUCGUGGUGGAAAAGCGGAUAUAAACAAGAAAUGGUGACAAUGAGGCUUUUCUCCUGCAGCCUAUUGCUUUGCUGUAUCACUCACUGCCAGGUGUUCUCAGCAGGAGGGAGGGAGUGUGGUUAAGUUCAAAUGAAAUAUCAGAAAUGGGCAAUUAUGUCGGUUUUCUUGAGGAAACAUUUGCUGUACACAUGUUGGAAGGCCUAAGAGCCCAACUGCACCAGACGUUGUGACAGCAAAUUUGACAUCAACAUCAGGUCACUGAUGAGCAUUCAUGCAGCUCAACUUUGUGUUGGCUAAUUGUGAACCAUCUUGACCUCAAGCUUUAACAAAAAAAGAUGGACACAUUAGCUGUGUCACCAUCCAAAUUUAGUCUUAUUAAAGUCUAAUUAAAAAGCACUUCACAAAAGAGAUGCACCAUGCUUUGGAGUCAGGACAGAGUGGGGAGGAUGUGGCAAGUUGAUUAGUUUGAAGUAGCUGUGUUAGCAAUCAAUCAACACCAUCACAAGCAACCCUGUCUCCCAGCGGGUUUAGUCAAAAAAAUCUGAUUAAGCCUAUGGAUUGACUUUGGUUAUGGUAAACACGAUUGAUAAAGUGAGGCAAAUGAGGAAAUUGAUAUCAUGUUUGUAAAAUAAACAUGAAGCUGGUUUCAGUCAGCUGAGCAGAGAGUGGGAACAGGGAGGCGUUCUAAAGGCAAAUAUGUUGUCAUACCAUUCCCUGAGUCAAAUGAAAAGAAUGGUCCACACUUGAUUUUGAUCAUUUUAACAUGAAAGGGUUUACACAAAGCAGAUAUAAGGAGGCAGUAGGUGAGCCAGCGGGCGUAUGUAUUGGGCAUCCAUCCAUCUGUAGACCUUGGCAAAUGCUGCAGGAUUUCUCCUGCCUAUGGAAGACCCUGAUGAUGGCCCCCUAAUGGAACAUCAUUUUGAACACAUCUCCUAACCUUCAUAUAUUAUCAUCCAAUAUAUUGAUUCAUCAUCCGUAGACACCACGCUCCAAGAAUCCCCUUUCCCUCCCCCUUUUAAAUGGUCUACUGUGGACAGUCAAUGUGAGUUAUCAUGGUGGGACUCCACCUACAGGCUCAACGCUCUACGGCCUCCAAUACCCAGUGGACAACUACAGUGUCCAUCGUGUACAGAUGUAUUUCCAGCUAAAUGGACUUGCUGUAAGAUUUCACGUUAGCCCUGGGAUUUAUUCAUACACUCUAUAUAGUGUAUGAAUUAAUCCCCUUGUUAAGAGAAUAUAGAUAUUCUCUUAACAAGUUCUUGAUGGAUGUGAUGUAUAUUCCAUUUAAAGCACGCCCUAACUCUCUUCUUAUAGGUAAAACGUCACAAAGAGCUUCUAAAACAUGAAGUAGCCGUGUUCUGCAGGUGUCGAAACCCGAUACACUGACAGGAGAAAAGCUCCUCUCUGGGACUGCAUUCUGCCGGAGAGGAGGGGUGGGCGGGGCGGGUGAGGAGGGUCUAUGUGUUUCUCGUAAGGCAAAGAAACCAACGAUUCCCUUACUUUGUAUGUGCUUGGAUCAGUAGCGGGCAAUGAACUGUUUUCCCAUGCAGGAACUAAUCAAUGUGGCAUAAGGGUAUGUCUAUACAUUGCUCAUGAAGGGAUAAAAUAUAGUUUAAAAUGUAGUCCACAUUAGUCAGGUAGACAUAAACCACAAUACGCCAGAGAGAGAGAGUAAUAUUUGUGUCAGCGCACAACAGAAACAUGCAAAAGUGUAUCCACAGACAAGAGCAAUUUAGGCAAAAGCAAACGAGACAGAAAGAGAGAAAGCUUCACUAGAAAACACCUACUGUGUAAAGUCACCCUACGUGGAAUUUAGGCACAAAGAUUGUCCUGGCUCAAGGCUUCGGUUAUAGAUACCUGGUCCAAUCACCAACCAGUGGGCUAUCUUAACCUUACAUACUUGAGGUCAGUGCAUGGCAGGUUUUGCAAAGAAACGCCGUGGGCAGAUUCAACAUAGUGUGAGAACCAACUUCGCAAGUCAGCGUGCCGGAGCUGCAGACCAUGGAUGUUCAAGCAGAGCAGACAGGCCUUUGCCGCUGUCUCCAUUUAAACAAUAUUUUUAGGAGCAAGCGGCAAAAGAAGCAUACUGUACUAUUCCAUCUAACUGAAGUAUUUCAAGUUAUAAAUAAUGAUAUAUAUUUAUCAAAAUAUAUUUCAAGCAAUUGUGAAUUAAGAAUAUGAAGAAAUGAUCAAUAAAAUCAUGUAAUCUCAACAAUUCCUCUGUAGCUUUGAUGAGGCUUUGCUACACUGACCGCACAUCAGUGGUUUGGAUGUGCUUCCAUGCGUACAUGUUGCUUUGAAAUGUGCAGUACAAAAAAUCCACCAACGUUAUUGAUUUUGUGGUAAAGUUUCACAAAGUACAUACUCAAGUCAUGCACAAACACACAAGCAAACACAGACAUGUAGUGGUCUCUAUCUCAUUCUGAUCUCCUUGUAUUUUAGGCAAGCUGGCCGCCAGGCUUUAUGCUCAGUCUGAUCAAUUAUUUAAGCUACCUUGAGCUCUCUGGGUUUUCCAAGGAUUUAUUAGGUCCAGCUGCUGGAAGUUUGGCACAAUGAAAAACAUGAUGCAUGGCGAGUGAGAGAGAGAGAGACACACACACAAAUACCACAGAGACUCAUCAGCCAUGUGCCACUUAUUGCAAAGCAGGCAACGUGAGAAAUGAAACAUCUGAUUUUCAAAGCGGCGAAUGGAAUAAAGUCUUUGCUCCUCAGAGGACAGCGCGCUGCUGGGGGAAAGAUGGACGAGUGGAGUACCCAUUUAUGUUGUGUAGGACGAUGCAAAUUACCCAAUAGCACAUUAUUCCUUGAGGUAUGUUGAUUUUAACUGUAAAGAGUGUGAUACAGGGAAAAAUACUAUGUGUGUGUUCGCGUGCUUGCCCGGGCUCAGUAUCCAAAAGUGCGUGUUUGCUCACGUUACUGUAUUUAGUGAGUGUGUCUGUGUGUGUGCGUGUUUUCUCCUGCGCAGUGGCAGCCUGCAGCAGUAAUGAAUGGGGCCUGGGGAUAGCUGAGAGGAUGGGAGGUGGCAGAUCAUAAAUAAUCAUUUAUCCCACCGUUUCCCCUGCCUCGCUGCCUGACAGACCGCUGGGUACAGGCAGGGAGAAGCCAGCAGUGCGAGCCGAGACGCAGCUGCACCAGCCACGACGCGCAUGUGGCCCCAAUGCUCUGGGGCAGAUUUUCUUCACAGCGGGUCUAUCUAGCUGAUACACCAGUGAAAUGAGCCGAACUGUAAAAUUGUGAAGACACAGGGUGAGUUGUGAUCUGUGGAAGAAGAAAAAAAAGGAUGGAGGACAAAGAAAAAGCCAUGCCGACAGACAAACAUGAAAACGGCUUGGAUAAAAGAAGAAAGAGGGGUGUGAAGUAAUGAAAAGGUACAUGUAAAACAAAAGCUGGCAUGUAUUGGUUCUGUGUGUUAUUUAUCUUAAAAUCAAUAACUACCUUAACCAUUCACUUGUAAUGUGUACUUCCAAUUGGAUCCCGAAAUUAAACAGUGCUUGAGGAAGUCAGCAGCACCUAAUGGCAGAGCCCGGGGGGAAAAUUCAGCCAUAAACACAGUUUUUCUCGCCCCCCCCCCAAGGAGCGUUGGCUUAUGAGUGGCUAAAAUGUGUUACAAACACAGGGGUGAUAAACUGAAGAUGUAUGAUGCACUUAAGAGCAUUGUCAAAAAGCUUAGUGCUAUUAGUCAAGCUACAUGAAGCAUUCACAAUCAUUUAGCCGUGUGGCCUAUGGAAGUGCAAUGGCUUGUGCAUCACGGCAGCAUGAUGCUGAUGACAGGAGAUGCAGAGAAGGAGACGUUCAUUCGGUAUCCACAAGGCGCGGUGUUCCAGAAUUUGCUUCGAAUUUCCAUAUGAUGAAGGGAGUACAAAGUACAUUCUUUAGGCCUGCACAGUUUUACUUUACUAUUUUGGAAAAUGCCGUUUUAGGACACAGGUUUUUCUUUUCUCCUUGUCUGCCAGCUUUGUCUGUAAGCCCGUCUGAAGUCACACGCAGGACUGUGUGAAAGCUCUAACUAAUACAAACCACCGUGAUUGUGUUCAACACUCAAAGAGCAACAUUAAUCAGCGCUCCAACACCUCAGCCUUCUCCAGCCGAGCAGAGUAAAUCAGGAAGAAGUUGGACGGGGAGAAAAGGGGGAAAUGGCUUUGAUUUAAUUUAUGGCUUCUGCUUUCAAGUCGCCACACGCCUGACUAAGUGUCAAAGUGGCAUUUAUGAUGUAUGAAAUUAAAUCACGGAGGGGAACACCACCGCACACAAAGCACAACAAUGCUGCACAUUUUUUUCUCACCUUAAUGGCUUAACUGAAAACGGCCUUUCAGUUGUUUGUAACAAGUCUCUCUCCAUUUAUCUAUUUUUGGCUAUUUCUUCAUCAGAACUGCAGGACAGUAAAUCAAAUUAAGCUUGUAAUUAAACAGAGGCCUAUUCGACCUAUUUGGCUCGUCACUGAUAUGGAUCAACGUUAGCGAUUGAUUACUUCCCCAAAGUGGUGUAAACAUAAAUCCAGCCAGCAUCAAAUGCUAAGAGAAGUAAAAAUCAAUGUGUUGAAAUAAUGCAAAAGUACUCCUUAUUUUUAAAAGCGGAAGUCGGAAAAGUCGGAAAAAAAGGAGUAAAAUCCACUUCCCUCACUUUCACUGAUCACUGAUUAGAUUUGAAUACUCUAUAACAAACCAGGGACUAAUGCUACACUAGUUAGAGAGGAAACACGUAGUAACGACCAAAACUUCAACCAAAAAAAAGGUAUUGAUGUGACACUUUAUGGAUCCCCACAGAGGAAUUUGCUUUAUGCCCUCUCCUUCCAAGUGGUUCAGAGCAAAGGGUCGGCUACAGUUCAGUGCCACUACAACCAGUAAUGCCCAGCAGGGUGUUACACUGUAAGUUUAUCAGAAGCACAUUUUGCACGGUAAACGCAUUAAGACUGAUAUGUCUCUGAACUUUAGGUUAAUAAGUUAUUACUAUGGCUGUCAACAGAUUUUUAAAAAUGAACUAAUUCAUUGCACAAAAUUAAUUAAUCUCAAUAAAUGGCCAUUGAUGAAUGUUGUUGUUACAAUGUUGUUUUUAAUGAAUGUUUGUUUUUCUUCUAAAAACUAAAUCAUAAAAAGAAUGAGUAAUCAUUUAGAAAAACGUGUAUUUUAGACACUGUUGUUUAAUUGUUAAUGUUAUUUUACAGUUGAUUGCUUUACAGUUACAGUUUUAGAUAGCUUAGCAUAUCGGUGCUUUAAGUGGUCCGUUUGACACUCACCCCCCCCUUCUGUUUGACACGCAAUUCCUCUGCCAACUUCUCCGCUGUCUGUCGCGUGUUCUAUUUUACUUCGAAUGCAAAAAGCUUUCUCCAUCUCGAUGUAACCGACUGCAGCCAGCGACGGUUCGUAAACGUAAAUGUACGUUAACUACAUUAAAAUAUUUUAUUGCAUUAAUCUCGGCCACAUUAAUUGCAAAGAUGAACGUGUUUAUGUUGACAGCCCCAGUUAUUACCAUCAUCAAUGGUUCAGCGUUUGCUUAGAGGACAGUAGCCCAUCUGCUAACAAAUGGCUCUUGUUCAGACGUCAUGGUCUCCAGCGAAAGAAUCCUCUGACUUUUCAUCUAGUGUCACUUUAGGUCAAAUACUUGCAAAAAACCUCCCUAACAGUCCUUCCUCUAUUUGCAAGACUGUGUUAAAUAAUUUUGAUUUUCAAAUGCAAAUGCUGUAUGUAGACAGGCUAUAGACUCUUGUUUAAUGUCAUUAUAUGUAAGAGAGAUAACCUUUCUAAAUAAUUAUGUAUUAUUAUAUCUGUUUGCAGUGUGUGGGAUGAAUAAAUGUUAUGCACAUGGUCACAUCGGUCCUAGCGUCACUCGUAAUUACGUCUAUGACAUUUUUUAUGUUACUUGUGUUGCCAAGUUGGUCAUCAUAAAAUCACAGGCUGUUACACCGGCCUGAAUUGUGAAGUUGUCUUGGCAUUCACUUCCGAAUCCUUGAUUAUCUUUUUAAUGAUUUUGCAGCAAAAGAGGGACAUUACAAUAAUUUGGGCCUGUCCUUCCAGACAAGCUGCAAGCCAAAGCACAAACAAAUCUCCAGUGCCUCUUGUGCCCUCUCUACAACAACAAAACAUCUAUAUAAUUUUUUAGUUAAUGUCGGAUUUAAGUACUUGGAUACUUGGCCAGUCAUAAAUAGGACUUGCAAGGUUUGAAGUUUAUGAGGAGUUCAUAACCUGGCUUUAAAAUUCUUCUGCAGUGCUUAAAUUACAAUAACGCAGGUGUCUUCAGUUUCUAGUUGUGCAAAACAGCAAUACAGGCUAUAGGGUUAUUAGUUUUUAGAUAGUAGUUAAUAGAGCUUCUAAUGAGGACAAGAACACUUCUUGCAUGAACAAUAACUCUUUACUGUCUUAACUCCAGCAUUAGAACAGUGUGCAUAACGCACUCUCGUACUCUACAUCGGGUUCACAUACCAAGCAUUUUACAUCACCCAAAGCGUACCAUGCUACUUCCUGCCUCUACAAAGUAAAAGCACUUCCUGUUAAGUAAGCUUCAAAUCUUCAGCUUAGCAAUGUACAAACAGUGUUACAGAAGCAGCAGAAACUAUAAAUUAUGCAAUCAAACUUUUGGGUAGAACUCACAUUUCAGUCUGGAAUUUUGGAAGAAAACGCCGAGCUUAUCUAUUCUGUUGAGUAUGAAGCACAACUGAAACAUGCUUAGAAUUUCUUUAUAUUUGACACAUUGUAUCAGUAUCUAAUCGAGAGGGAAGAAACAAAGAAGGCCUAAAGGCUGGCGCAUGCUUCUGCGUCUGCGUCUUUACGCACCGCUGUGUCGACGCACUCGUUUCAUUCAUGGUUCUAAAAGGCUUGCGUGUGUUGCAGAGUAAUUCACCGCCAGAACAACAGGUGGAGUAACGUGUUUUGUCUUGUGUGUGGAAGUUGUUGGUUUGUUUAUUUAUUUAUCAUAGACUUUAUUGCCCCGUGCAUCGCCACUGCUGCUUUUCAUCGCGGACACAUUUGUCCUGUAUUUUCCUCCACAACUUCCAUGAAUCCGAGGCCAUCCGCGCGUCCUUAUAGUCCACCAAUGACGGCUUGUAUAAGAGAUCAUAUUUACGGAUUUCUUCCCACAAAAGCACUUCAAUCAGUUCAAUCCAUUCUCUCGUAAAACUUUGUUUUAAUAAUGGCGGUAUUGUGCUAUCAAACCGGAAAUGUGAGACUCCGUAAAGGAUGCAGUUAGCAGACUAAUCAGCCUUGCGGGCUGCGAGAAACUUGCGCAGCUUUUGACGAAUGCCUAGAAAAAUGGGUCGACACACGCAAGCACGCAUGGAGGGGUGAAAAGGCAAGCAAGGGACACGCAAGGGGCUCUUGCGUCUCUGAAAACGCAGAAGCAUAAACUAGGCUUAACUCAUUACUUGCUACCCAAUACACACAUUUUUUUUUUUUUGCAUAACACCUUUUAUCUUUUACUUUCUAUGGUGCAUGACUCAAUAUACUAUGUGGUGAAAAUCCCAUCUUAAAUGCUGUGGGAAAAGUCCUUUGAACACCGGUUUCAUUAAUUAAUGUAGCGUCAUUUACAAUUAUAGUAGACUUAUAUGUAAACUAAAGGCAUGCACAGGUUUUUUUAUACACAAAUAGACAACAGCCUUUCCUUACUUUGCAUUGUAGCUUUUACUGUACCAGUAACUGAGAUACCAGUAACUGAAACCCUAUUUAAGAUGGUUUGACCCUAGCACUUUAGAUGUUAGGUGUGACCAGAGGCGUUAAUCUUUGGCCAGAAUUCAUCCUGUUCCUUCCAGUCUGAAUAAUGAGCCUCCGUCUUAUCCCCCACCUGCUAAAGCUUCCCCUCGUCUCCUCUGCACUUCAGCUCUUCCCACCCCAAUUUACCACCCUUAAUCUUGUGUCUGCUUCUUCUCAGGAAGUGGCUACCUUUUUUUUCUGCUGACUAACCCCCCCCCCACACAGCUACGCACACACACUGGGCACCAACAGAAGGUGAUGGGAGGAAGAAGGGAGGAGAAGGUGAGCUGCUGCUGCUGACGUUACUCGGCUCACAGGACUUGCCCGUAAAUGAACUCAUUUUUCAUCCUGUCUCUCUCCCUCCUCCCUCUCCUGUUAAUGACUGGCACUUUCCUCGUACGGAGCGCCGGCCCUCUGAAGAGCCUGGCGAGUGACAGAGCACCAUUCAUCUCCUCAUGGCGGAGGACAGUAGGGGGGGCCCGCUGAGGUGAGAGGUAAGGCUGGCAUACAGACGUGCGGACAGAUGCAGAGGAUGAAAGAGACAGAGACAGGUUGCAAUGAAGGCUAGAUUAAGGAACACUUCUAACAGUAGGAGCAAGUAGGAGAUAAAAGAGUGGAGGAAAGAGGAACUGGGAACCACAGAUGUGACAGGAACUCGUCUUUCCGCUCUCUCAUCUCAUGUGCCAAAUAACUCCAAUGCCAGAUGAACCAUCAAGAAAACCAAUAAUCAGCAUGUUUUCAUAUAGAAUUUUUUUACUAUGAUCAAAACCACAUUCCUCAAGCCCUGCAGCUAAUGAAAGCUUUUAUGCUCGCUGUUCUAAACACUUACCCAAAAGGAAUUUUCUGAGAAAAUCCUCCAGGGCAGAGGGGUUGAUGCCGUUAAUAUUUACAGAAAGAGCAACCGCAGCUUGUCUGGAAUAAGAAUGAAGCUGCUGUCGAGUUAAAACUUUUCUCCAUAAUGUCAACUUUUUAUGAACUGAUAAAAUCGGCCAUUAUUUCAGUUUGACAACCGUCUGUAUAAACGAGCACAAUGGAACAUGAACAUGCCUUGACAUUAGCACUUUCCCACCCGCCAAAUGCAGGUAAAUUGGCCUGUGCGGGCAAAGCAAUCCCUGGUACUAGCCACUUUGACGGGUGGAAUUCUGUAUAUCGCUCUCUAUAUUUUUUAUUGUAGUGUACUGGACUGGCUCAUGUUUAAUGUUUUGCGUUUGAGACAUUACGUCCCUUUAGUGUUGCCGUAGAGGCAAUAGGGUUGAGGGGUGAAGGCAGUUAUUAAUGUGUCAUGAGAGCAUCCUCCACAAAUCCAGAACGCUCGGUUAUAUUGGUGACAGCAGUGGUUCUUGUGCACAGAUGGUACACAACUGUGAGUGUGCACUUCCAUAGUUUAUCUAGCAGCAAUGCCUCCUUUGGGAGUCCAGACAGUGGUGGUGGUGGUAGAGAAUAAGUUGCUCCAAUCCUAUGAUGGAUUGGAGCAAUUGGAGAUUGGAGCUAUGAUGCCGGGUUUUGCUGUUGAUUGGAGGAGAGGGGUGGUGGCCCACGUCUGGUUGGCUAGUAUUGAACGAACCCACCCCCAAUCAGCUGACAGCGUACCAACAGGGAUAGAGGAGCAACCUGGUAAAGGCACAGCUUGUCCAGUCUUCCUAACUGAAUUUAAGCCUAAGCUUCAUUUCAAUCAGGAGACUUCAACUUUUAACAAUGAUACUUAACAGGCCUUGGACCAUCCUUUCUUACGAUAGACCAGGGGGGCGGAAUGCCAAGAUGAGACAUAUCCCCCAAAACAAGGUUUAUUUUGUGAAUGAAUAAAAUAAAUACUUUAACUACGGUCACUGAGAGAUCCUAGCUGGUUUGUCAUCCUGAGCUGAGGUUAAAAGGGAGUUUGUUAGGGGGACAUAUAGUAGGUCACGUGAAACAGAGAGACAACAGAGGUCAAGUUUAACAAGACACGGUUAGGGGAAGGUCUCAAUGGACCACAGACUUGGAUAAGGGGGUCAGGACAUAGUGAGGGUCUGGCUGGACAACAGUGAGUCAUGGUGGUAUUUCAACAGAUCUUUCACAGAAGUGAAAGAGAGGGUCUGUCACACCGCAGGACGGGAGACAUCGGGGUCAGGUUUGACCACAACAAGAUAAGUUGUGGUCAUGCUAGAGUGCAGCAAAGAACAGUUAAGGUCAAGUGGGACCGCAGAAUAGACAUAGUUGCUGAGGGGCCACCCACAAAAAAACAACUUGACCGGGUUCGCUCCGAUCGGGAAACAGACAUCAUGUUUAGACCUCCAAACAGAAAUGGUACCAGCUUAUUGGGUCCACCUCGAACAUCUUUUUGAAAAUUGAAAUCGUCCCGUUAGACCAGGAAACAGAUCACGUCACGUUCACCUAGGAAACACAGACACUUUAGUGUCGCUGUGGGGGGAGAAACCCCCCCUCUGAGUACGGGCUGCAUCC